GACGAACGCUGGCGGCGUGCCUAAUACAUGCCAGUAGAACGCUGAAGGAGGAGCUUGCUUCUCUGGAUGAGUUGCGAACGGGUGAGUAACGCGUAGGUAACCUGCCUGGUAGCGGGGGAUAACUAUUGGAAACGAUAGCUAAUACCGCAUAAGAGUAGAUGUCGCAUGACAUUUGCUUAAAAGGUGCAGUUGCAUCACUACCAGAUGGACCUGCGUUGUAUUAGCUAGUUGGUGAGGUAACGGCUCACCAAGGCAACGAUACAUAGCCGACCUGAGAGGGUGAUCGGCCACACUGGGACUGAGACACGGCCCAGACUCCUACGGGAGGCAGCAGUAGGGAAUCUUCGGCAAUGGACGGAAGUCUGACCGAGCAACGCCGCGUGAGUGAAGAAGGUUUUCGGAUCGUAAAGCUCUGUUGUAAGAGAAGAACGAGUGUGAGAGUGGAAAGUUCACACUGUGACGGUAUCUUACCAGAAAGGGACGGCUAACUACGUG
Molecule: ribosomal RNA, 495 nt
Filed under: uncultured bacterium
Lineage: Bacteria
Description: partial 16S ribosomal RNA
Rfam family: Bacterial small subunit ribosomal RNA
Source: RNAcentral